This is a long non-coding RNA of Papaver somniferum (opium poppy), 1175 nucleotides long. RefSeq lists it as uncharacterized. The transcript is spliced from 2 exons. NCBI's taxonomy places the organism in Eukaryota, Viridiplantae, Streptophyta, Magnoliopsida, Ranunculales, Papaveraceae. The record is from RefSeq and is a predicted model, not a curated record.
AGUCAAAGGAUAGAACCAGCGAAGAGACGAAGAAAAGCACCGCCAACAUCCACCUCCUACAGUUUCAUCCUCUUUGACUGCCACCACCACCACCAUCAUCUCUUCUUCGUUUUUUCUUUUCUAUUCGUUUCUUCUAACCUGGAACCCUAAAUAGUAGAUACGAAUAUAAAUGUUUUUCCGAUUGUUUCGUAGAUUUCAAUUUGCUGAGGGGUAAAUUCAUACUCGGUGGUUUUUGGUCCUAUCUCUUACUCAUGUUUCUUCAUCCCAAAAUCGAUUAUACGAUUUUCUAGGGUUUUUUUUUCCCAUUAUACUUUCUUUAAUUUCAACAAGAGAAACAACUCAGCAUGGAAUGGGGAUGGGUAACUAUAAUCUGAUUAACUUGGGGUAGGGAUUGGAUUAAAGGUUACAUCUAAUGUUGCUUCUUUGUACUUAUGAAAUUAUUGAUUCCUUUAAUCGUUUUGAUUAUUCAUUUAGUGUAAAAUUUGGGUAUGAGUUUUAGAUUUUUAAUAGUUUCGGUAAUUUAGGUUAGGUUUUGGAUAGGAGUUGAAGAGAUGAUUCAGGGUAUGAAUUCAAUUUCAGUUGAACUUAGAAAAUCAAAUACCCUAUUUUCAGUUUCGUGUUAAAUGUUCAAUAUUUUCCUAUAACUUCUAUUUAUUUGUUGAAAUGCCUUAUAUAAAAUUUGUCUGCUUUGGUUCUUAAAGAAGUCAUGUGUAUAUAUAAAACUAACGUCAAAUUUUCAGUUGUGCUUUAUGGUAAUGAAGUAUACAAGGCUCCCGGAGUUCAGGGGUCUUAAACGGAACAACUUGCACAUCGUGGUGGGCGUCUUUGCUAGGACUGUACAUAUUAUCUUCGAAGUACAACUAUCGGGUAUGUAUUCUGCUGAAGUAGAAAGAAAGCUACUUCUGGUGAUGAUAUUGUUGAUUCUGAACGUUUCCAACUGAAUGCAAUCAUGUAAGAUACUGUUGCAUUCUUUUGUUAGUUUUUUGUUCAUUUUUUGUGGCAACUAGCUACUUGCUUUGGUGGAAAGAUAAGAGUGAAAUUUGGAAUUUGUAUUUACAACAAUGUCGUUGCAUUAUGUUUUGCAUCUACAGGUAAAAUAAAAAAUUUGCGUCUUCAUGUUACCAUGUAAAACAAGAAUUUUUUUUACAUUCACAAUAAAAUUUAUGCAAGCGCCA